Chlorocebus sabaeus (green monkey) is the source of this 2339-nucleotide non-coding RNA. The record is from RefSeq and is a predicted model, not a curated record. NCBI's taxonomy places the organism in Eukaryota, Metazoa, Chordata, Mammalia, Primates, Cercopithecidae.
UCCCCUUCCCUGGAGUGCAGGCUGGACUUACUGACUCAUUUUUAAUGAACAGAAUAGAGCAGAAGUGGUAAGAUGUCACUAUGAGAUUAGGCUGUAAAGACUGUGUCUUCAGUCUUGGGCACUCUCUCUCACUUUUGCCCCCUCUUUUAUGUUUCAUGCUGUGAAGUGAGCUGCCAGGCUGUGAACAGCCAGCCCUGUGAAGAGGACCACAGCCAGUGAGGAACUGAAGCCCGGCAACAACCACGUGAGUGAGCUUGGAAGAGGAUUCGUCCUGCAGUCGUGCCUUCCUUCCGGUGAGAUAGCAGCACUGGACUACAAUCUCAGGAGAGAUCCUGAGCCAGAGGCACACAGCUAAGCCACGCCCAGAUUCCUGACCCAAAGAAACUGUGAGAUGACAACUGCUACUUUAAGGACUGACUCUGGAACUGUGUGAGGAACUGUGGGAUUCUACUGACCCUUGGACAGUGCCCCGUAAACAGCUCUCAACUGACCAGCAAAGAGCUGCCUGGUGUGUGGAUGACAGUUCCAAGGUGAACAUCCUGUUUGGAAGGAUGCCACUCUUGAUCAAAGAAGUGGUUCUAGGACCAGAGCCAUAACUACCAGUGUUAGAACCAGGGAUGAUUCCUAAACAAGAAAUUGUAACUAUGUUUUUAAACCUCGUGUCAGAAUUCCUAAGGACCUGAUGGGGUUUCAAUAGAGAAAAAGAGGAGGAGCAAGGAUGGAGGCCUAUGGCAUUCCAGUGUGAAGAGGUGGGAGAGGCGAGAUGAGGAAGAAUCAGCAGGAUCUGAGAAGGAGCAGCCAGAGAGGUAGAAGGACAACCAAGAGAGCAGGUGUCCCAGAAGCCCAGAGAAGACAGUGUUUCAGAAGGAUGGAUGCCAAAUGUUGCUGACAGGCCAAGAACAAGCCCUGGGAUUUGAACACUGGACUUAGCAAUAUGAAGAUAUUCACAGAUGAUGUGCAGGAACAGCAAACAAGAUGAAAAAACUAAUGAAAACUGCUCAGAAAAAAGAAAAGGUUUACUGAUGGGGUGAGCUUAUGUGAGCUACCCAGUGCCAGGACCUUCAAGCAAAGCCAUGGCUUCAACAGGCAGAGACCUACAUCACCUUCUAAGGAAGAAAGAUGAAGAAUAAACUCCACAACAUUUUAAAGCCAAGUGAAACUGCAGCACUUGCACUGCAGUAUAAAUGAAUCAUUGCAAUUUGAGCAAGGGCUAGCAUUAGCUCUGACUAAUGUGAGACUUUGUACUUGAAGACGGGGAGUGAAAAGUGUCUUUAUGUUGGAGAAAGUCCUUAAGAUUGAAGUAUGCUUCAUUUUCCCCCCUAACAGGCAGAAUUUCAAAUAGUAGCCACUUCUGCUUGUCAAAUCCCAUUAAGACUAAUGUCAUAAGUAUGCUGUUUAAUUAUCAUUAUCUGGCCGGGCACAGUGGCUCAUGCCUGUAAUCCCACACUUGGGGAGGGAUGAAAUCCCACACUUUUCAUCCUAGUGAAAUUGUGGUCAACUGACCAGUUCGAAAUGAGGGAAGUGAUUAGACAGGGCUUGGGUAGACUUGUUUCCUCUCCCUAUCCUGGAGCGAAUGUGUUCUUUAAAGUCUGAAUAAUUUUUCCUUGACAAAGGGGUUGAGAAAUCAUCUGAAAGGGGUGGUAAGAUUUCUGAAAUGAGGAGAGGUUUAGAAGGAUACUCCCUUGUCCUUUUUACAAGAGAGUCCAAUAUAGGAUUUUCUAUUCCUUCAGCUGAGAUGAGUAGCUAAAAUAAAUUUGGGAGGUUGAGUCUAUAAGGGGGAACAAAAUAAGCUAUAAAACAAUCUUACUUAUUUGAAUACCUAACCCAUAGCAGCUUAGAAUCUUGCUGUGUAUAUACUAACUGGUUACCUGUAAUAAUGAUAUGACAUUACACCUUUUAUAUAUAGUUUGGGAAAUAUAUUUUUGCCCUUUAUAAAGAAGUUAAUUGAGGUUAAGUGUUAGCAUAUAUUCCAGUUAAACAGUAUUUUCUAAUAGCUACUUUAAAAGAUCAAAUAACCUAGCAAAUGAUAAUUUAAAAGUCAAAUUAAAAUCACUUAAGACCAGUAGCAGUUUAUAAACUAUGACAAUUGAAAUGUACUAUAUUUAACGGUCUCACAUUUGCAAGUGCUGGAGGUAAAAAAAGAAAAAAAAAAGUACUACAUUUAAAAGGUGUCUUCAAACUUUUCUUGAAAAUAUCCAUAGAGAUCAAUAAUUUUGUUAAUAGUUCUUUUGCUCAGAACCAUUAGGGUGAUGAAAUGAGGUCGGGCGCGGUGGCUCACAGCUGUAAUUCCAGCACUUUAGGAGGCCGAGGCAGUCAGAUCACUUGAUCCAGGAGUUUGA